UACGUAGGGUGCGAGCGUUGUCCGGAAUUACUGGGCGUAAAGAGCUCGUAGGCGGUUUGUCGCGUCGUCCGUGAAAACUUGGGGCUCAACCCCAAGCUUGCGGGCGAUACGGGCAGACUUGAGUACUGCAGGGGAGACUGGAAUUCCUGGCGUAGCGGUGAAAUGCGCAGAUAUCAGGAGGAACACCGGUGGCGAAGGCGGGUCUCUGGGCAGUAACUGACGCUGAGGAGCGAAAGCAUGGGGAGCGAACAGG
RNAcentral lists this ribosomal RNA (253 nucleotides) under uncultured bacterium. RNAcentral's name for it is "partial 16S ribosomal RNA". It matches the Rfam family "Bacterial small subunit ribosomal RNA", at positions 524 to 776 of the family's 1533-position model. The record is from RNAcentral.